Molecule: ribosomal RNA, 474 nt
Filed under: uncultured bacterium
Lineage: Bacteria
Description: partial 16S ribosomal RNA
Rfam family: Bacterial small subunit ribosomal RNA
Source: RNAcentral
GACGAACGCUGGCGGCGUGCUUAACACAUGCAAGUCGAGCGGUAAGGCUCCUUCGGGUGUACACGAGCGGCGAACGGGUGAGUAACACGUGAGUAAUCUGCCCUUCACUUCGGGAUAACCACCGGAAACGGUGGCUAAUACCGAAUACGACCAGUCUUCGCAUGAGGUGCUGGUGGAAAGUCUUUUCGGUGAAGGAUGUGCUCGCGGCCUAUCAGCUUGUUGGUGGGGUAAUGGCCUACCAAGGCUUCGACGGGUAGCCGGCCUGAGAGGGUGACCGGCCACACUGGGACUGAGACACGGCCCAGACUCCUACGGGAGGCAGCAGUGGGGAAUAUUGGACAAUGGGCGAAAGCCUGAUCCAGCAACGCCGCGUGAGGGAUGACGGCCUUCGGGUUGUAAACCUCUUUCAGUACCGACGAAGCGCCCUGUCGGGUGGUGACGGUAGGUACAGAAGAAGGACCGGCCAACUACGUG